UACGUAGGGUGCGAGCGUUAAUCGGAAUUACUGGGCGUAAAGCGUGCGCAGGCGGUUUUGUAAGCCGGAUGUGAAAUCCCCGGGCUUAACCUGGGAAUGGCAUUCGGGACUGCAAGGCUGGAGUGCGGCAGAGGGAGGUGGAAUUCCACGUGUAGCGGUGAAAUGCGUAGAGAUGUGGAGGAACACCGAUGGCGAAGGCAGCCUCCUGGGCCAACACUGACGCUCAUGCACGAAAGCGUGGGGAGCAAACAGG
RNAcentral lists this ribosomal RNA (253 nucleotides) under uncultured bacterium. RNAcentral's name for it is "partial 16S ribosomal RNA". It matches the Rfam family "Bacterial small subunit ribosomal RNA", at positions 524 to 776 of the family's 1533-position model. The record is from RNAcentral.